ACAUAUGAAAUGGUGCACAAUGCACAUGAUGAACAAAAUCACCUUCCAAAGAACAGGAAGGAUUUGGAACUCCGGACAAAUGGAUACCACUUGAGCAAUGACUCAAGUGAUGAGGACAAUGAUGAACUUGAAUUUCGAACACUAAAUCUUAAUAAGUUUAUUAAACAAAAAUCUAAAAUAAACAAUGAACUUGAACGGAG
This 200-nucleotide long non-coding RNA is filed under the name Musa acuminata (dwarf banana). RNAcentral describes it as "long non-coding RNA (MACU_LNC007267)". The record is from RNAcentral. Lineage: Eukaryota; Viridiplantae; Streptophyta; Magnoliopsida; Zingiberales; Musaceae.